Molecule: ribosomal RNA, 408 nt
Filed under: uncultured bacterium
Lineage: Bacteria
Description: partial 16S ribosomal RNA
Rfam family: Bacterial small subunit ribosomal RNA
Source: RNAcentral
GACGAACGCUGGCGGCGUGCUUAACACAUGCAAGUCGAACGAAGUGGCGGACGGGUGAGUAACGCGUAAUCAACCUGCCCUUCAGAGGGGGACAACAGUUGGAAACGACUGCUAAUACCGCAUACUGAAGGAGGGGAUUGCGUCGGAUUAGCUCGUUGGGGGGGUAACGGCCCACCAAGGCGAUGAUCAGUAGCCGGGUCUGAAGGAUGAACGGCCACAUUGGGACUGGGACACGGCCCAGACUCCUACGGGAGGCAGCAGUGGGGAAACUUCCGCAAUGGACGAAAGUCUGACGGAGCAACGCCGCGUGAGUGAUGACGGCCUUCGGGUUGUAAAGCUAUGUUAAUCGGGACGCGGUACCGGAAGAGAAAGCCACGGCUAACUACGUGCCAGCAGCCGCGGUAAUUC